RNAcentral lists this ribosomal RNA (556 nucleotides) under Arthrobacter sp. L15(2010). Its description in RNAcentral is "bacterial SSU rRNA". It matches the Rfam family "Bacterial small subunit ribosomal RNA", at positions 76 to 641 of the family's 1533-position model. The record is from RNAcentral. Lineage: Bacteria; Bacillati; Actinomycetota; Actinomycetes; Micrococcales; Micrococcaceae.
CCCUUCGGGGUGGAUUAGUGGCGAACGGGUGAGUAACACGUGAGCAACCUGCCCUUGACUCUGGGAUAAGCCUGGGAAGCUGGGUCUAAUACCGGAUAGUACCUCCUGCCGCAUGGUGGGGGGUGGAAAGCCUUGUGCGGUCUUGGAUGGGCUCGCGGCCUAUCAGCUUGUUGGUGGGGUGAUGGCCUACCAAGGCGACGACGGGUAGCCGGCCUGAGAGGGUGACCGGCCACACUGGGACUGAGACACGGCCCAGACUCCUACGGGAGGCAGCAGUGGGGAAUAUUGCACAAUGGGCGCAAGCCUGAUGCAGCGACGCCGCGUGGGGGAUGACGGCCUUCGGGUUGUAAACCCCUUUCGGCAGGGGACAAGCCGUUUCGGCGGUGAGGGUACCUGCGGAAGAAGCGCCGGCUAACUACGUGCCAGCAGCCGCGGUAAUACGUAGGGCGCGAGCGUUAUCCGGAAUUAUUGGGCGUAAAGAGCUCGUAGGCGGUUUGUCGCGUCUGCUGUGAAAGCCCGGGGCUCAACCCCGGGUCUGCAGUGGGUACGGGCAGGC